ACUAUCACAAAUUAUGCAGUCGAGUUUCCCGCAUUUGGGGAAAUCGCAGGGGUCAGCACAUCCGGAGUGCAAUGGAUAAGCCUCGCCCUGGGAAAACCACCUUCGUGAUCAUGGAUCGGAAGAGCUCA
Molecule: non-coding RNA, 128 nt
Organism: Peromyscus maniculatus bairdii (prairie deer mouse)
Lineage: Eukaryota; Metazoa; Chordata; Mammalia; Rodentia; Cricetidae
Source: RefSeq, a predicted model, not a curated record